GUGAAUCAUCAAAUCUUUGAACGCAAAUUGCGCUUCUUGGCAUCCCGGGAAGUAUGCCUGUUUGAGGAUCGAUAUUACUACUACAGCGGUAUAGUGAGAAAUUGUGACGUGUCCGGAGUAUGGGCUAUGUUAACAUUUUUGGUUAAGAGGCUUAAAUUUGCCCUUUAUUGCGCGUUUUUAGACGUACAUAAAUUUUUUUUAUUCGUCUAUUCUUAAUGCCGAAAUCUUAUUAGGUGCGAUCACCUCGUGUGGCUUCGUGUCCAUACAAUUUUCAUGAUUUGAGCUCAAUUCAGGUAGU
RNAcentral lists this unclassified non-coding RNA (298 nucleotides) under Glomeraceae sp. RNAcentral's name for it is "partial contains 5.8S ribosomal RNA and internal transcribed spacer 2". The stretch from base 1 to 71 matches the Rfam family "5.8S ribosomal RNA", at positions 84 to 154 of the family's 154-position model. Lineage: Eukaryota; Fungi; Glomeromycota; Glomeromycetes; Glomerales; Glomeraceae. The record is from RNAcentral.